RNAcentral lists this ribosomal RNA (482 nucleotides) under uncultured bacterium. RNAcentral's name for it is "bacterial SSU rRNA". It matches the Rfam family "Bacterial small subunit ribosomal RNA", at positions 30 to 507 of the family's 1533-position model. The record is from RNAcentral.
UGAACGCUGGCGGCAGGCUUAACACAUGCAAGUCGAGGGGCAGCACUUGUAGCAAUACAUGGUGGCGACCGGCGCAAGGGUGCGUAACGCGUGAGCAACAUGCCCGUAUCAGGGGGAUAAUCCAGGGAAACUUGGUCUAAUACCCCAUAGCAAUUAUUUGAGGCAUCUUAAAUAAUUUAAAGCUUUGGUGGAUACGGAUUGGCUCGCGUGACAUUAGCUAGAUGGUAAGGUAACGGCUUACCAUGGCUACGAUGUCUAGGGGUUCUGAGAGGAAGAUCCCCCACACUGGAACUGAGACACGGUCCAGACUCCUACGGGAGGCAGCAGUGAGGAAUAUUGGACAAUGGAUGGAAAUCUGAUCCAGCCAUGCCGCGUGCAGGAAGACGGCCCUAUGGGUUGUAAACUGCUUUUGUGUGGGAGCAAUGAGGUCUAUGCGUAGACUGAUGAGAGUACCAUACGAAUAAGCAUCGGCUAACUCCGUG